This 253-nucleotide ribosomal RNA is filed under the name uncultured Isosphaera sp. Its description in RNAcentral is "partial 16S ribosomal RNA". It matches the Rfam family "Bacterial small subunit ribosomal RNA", at positions 524 to 776 of the family's 1533-position model. Lineage: Bacteria; Pseudomonadati; Planctomycetota; Planctomycetia; Isosphaerales; Isosphaeraceae. The record is from RNAcentral.
GACGAACCGUGCGAACGUUGUUCGGAAUCACUGGGCUUAAAGGGCGCGUAGGCGGACCAUCAAGUCAGGAGUGAAAUCCCCCGGCUCAACCGGGGAAGUGCUUCUGAUACUGGUGGUCUCGAGUGGGGUAGGGGCGUGCGGAACUUCCGGUGGAGCGGUGAAAUGCGUAGAGAUCGGAAGGAACGCCGGUGGCGAAAGCGGCACGCUGGACCCUUUCUGACGCUGAGGCGCGAAAGCCAGGGGAGCAAACGGG